This 404-nucleotide ribosomal RNA is filed under the name uncultured Sphingobacteriales bacterium. Its description in RNAcentral is "bacterial SSU rRNA". It matches the Rfam family "Bacterial small subunit ribosomal RNA", at positions 977 to 1382 of the family's 1533-position model. The record is from RNAcentral. Lineage: Bacteria; Pseudomonadati; Bacteroidota; Sphingobacteriia; Sphingobacteriales.
GGGCGUCGAACGUAAGAUGACUGUAGGUGAAAGACUACAUCUCUUCGGAGCAUUUACGAGGUGCUGCAUGGUUGUCGUCAGCUCGUGCCGUGAGGUGUCGGGUUAAGUCCCAUAACGAGCGCAACCCCUACCUUAGUUGCCAUCAGGUAAUGCUGGGGACUCUAAAGGAACUGCCUACGCAAGUAGUGAGGAAGGCGGGGAUGACGUCAAAUCAGCACGGCCCUUACGUCCAGGGCUACACACGUGCUACAAUGGCCGAUACAGAGGGCAGCUACCUGGUGACAGGAUGCAAAUCUCCAAAGUCGGUCUCAGUUCGGAUCGGAGUCUGCAACCCGACUCCGUGAAGUUGGAUUCGCUAGUAAUCGCGCAUCAGCCAUGGCGCGGUGAAUACGUUCCCGGGCCUU